GUCUUGAACUUCACGUUCUUCACAGCAAAUAGUAGGUCGACGCCCAUCACCAGAGUCGGAUCUGAGAAAACUAGUUUCCCAUACAUGAACAUGCACCACCUUCCUCAGAAAGGCACGUGUCUGCUUCAUUUUUGAGAACACUUUAGUGGAAUUCUCUCCUAUUCUCCCAGAGCAUCAGUUUGCAACAGGCAUCAGUCACUCAGACAGGAUGGAGUGCCAUGCAACAGCUUGCAAGCGUAUCGCAAGUGUGUAAAUUUAUUUCAAAGGACAGUUAACAAGUUUUCAUAUCCUGACAUCCACAGAGGACACAUCCUACUAUAUGUCUCUUGACUGUUAUUAAUAAAAGGCUUAUGUUCCAGUACAA
This is a long non-coding RNA of Falco peregrinus (peregrine falcon), 364 nucleotides long. RefSeq lists it as uncharacterized. The transcript is spliced from 3 exons. The record is from RefSeq and is a predicted model, not a curated record. NCBI's taxonomy places the organism in Eukaryota, Metazoa, Chordata, Aves, Falconiformes, Falconidae.